GACGAACGCUGGCGGCGUGCCUAACACAUGCAAGUCGAGCGGGGUUGAAGCGAGAGGUAACUCGAACUUCUACCUAGCGGCGGACGGGUGAGUAACGCGUGGGCAACCUGCCUCAAGGUUUGGGAUAACAGCCCGAAAGGGCUGCUAAUACCGGAUAUGCCUAUGGCCUCGCAUGGGGCUAUGAGCAAAGGGGAAACCCGCCUUGAGAUGGGCCCGCGUCCCAUCAGCUAGUUGGUGAGGUAACAGCUCACCAAGGCGACGACGGGUAGCCGGCCUGAGAGGGUGACCGGCCACACUGGGACUGAGACACGGCCCAGACUCCUACGGGGGGGCAGCAGUGGGGGAUCUUGCACAAUGGGCGAAAGCCUGAUGCAGCGACGCCGCGUGAGCGAAGAAGGCCUUCGGGUUGUAAAGCUCUGUCUGGAGGGACGAACAAAAAUGACGGUACCUCCGGAGGAAGCCACGGCUAACUACGUG
RNAcentral lists this ribosomal RNA (477 nucleotides) under uncultured bacterium. Its description in RNAcentral is "bacterial SSU rRNA". It matches the Rfam family "Bacterial small subunit ribosomal RNA", at positions 28 to 507 of the family's 1533-position model. The record is from RNAcentral.